RNAcentral lists this ribosomal RNA (829 nucleotides) under uncultured bacterium. RNAcentral's name for it is "bacterial SSU rRNA". It matches the Rfam family "Bacterial small subunit ribosomal RNA", at positions 1 to 876 of the family's 1533-position model. The record is from RNAcentral.
GAUAGUUGAUCCUGGCCCAGAAUGAACGUUGGCGGCGUGGAUUAGGCAUGCAAGUCGAGCGAUCGUAGCAAUACGGGAGCGGCAAACGGGGUAGGAAUACCUCGGAACAUACCCUUAGGUCGGGGAUAGCGGCGGGAAACUGCCGGUAAUACCCGAUGAUCUCGAGAGAGCAAAGGUUUACUGCCUAGGGAGUGGCCGAGGCGAUAUUAGCUAGUUGGUGAGGUAAUGGCUCACCAAGGCUUCGAUGUCUAGGGGGCGUGAGAGCGCGACCCCCACCACUGGGACUGAGAAACUGCCCAGACACCUACGGGUGGCUGCAGUCGAGAAUCUUCGUCAAUGGGGGAAACCCUGAACGAGCGACGCCGCGUGUGGGAUGAAGGCCUUUGGGUUGUAAACCACUGUCAGGGGGGAUGAAACCGCAAGGUUGACAGAGCCCCAGAGGAAGCACGGGCUAAGUUCGUGCCAGCAGCCGCGGUAAUACGAACUGUGCGAACGUUAUUCGGAAUCACUGGGCUUACAGGGUGCGUAGGUGGCCGGACAAGUCAGGUGUGAAAUCCCUCAGCUCAACUGAGGAACUGCGCUUGAAACUGUUUGGCUAGAGUGAGCUAGGGGUGCUUGGAACUGCCAGUGGAGCGGUGAAAUGUGUUGAUAUUGGCAGGAACACCGGAGCCGAAAGGGAAGCACUGGGGCUUAACUGACACUGAGGCACGAAAGCCAGGGGAGCAAACGGGAUUAGAUACCCCGGUAGUCCUGGCCGUAAACUAUGAGAACUGGGCGGGGGAGUGCUUGCACAUCCCGGCCGUAGCGAAAGCGUUAAGUCUCCGCCUGG